UUGAAAAUGCUUUGAGCUCUUUCUGAGGGAGGUCACUAUAUACAUCCAAAGUAGCAACCACUAAUAAUUCUCUUCAUUCAUUCAGCAAUCUCUUUUUAACUGAGGAUGAGAAAAAAUAACUCUAAUCAUCUAUUUCCCAAUUUUUCCCCUCCCCCUGGGACCCCAACUCAACUAGUAGAGUUAUCCAGUUGUUCAAAGUUCCUUGUUAUCAACUCUAAAAUUUACUUGGUUAAUGACAUUCAUUGGUUUCUAUUGAGAUGCUUUGACCUAGAUGUUCAUGCUAACCACAACUCUAGAGCAGGAGAAAAAAAAUGCAAAUAGGAUCCUCAGGUUACUAAAUCUCUUUUUUCCUGUCUUCUCUGUCUCUCACCUGCUGGGGGAAAAAAAGUAUGGAUUAUACUACAUGCCAUCCAUUUGAGCUCCGCUGCUAACUCCUGCUAAUAAUUUCACAGUAAAAUCUGAUUAAGGGUCAAUGAUUAGUACUUAAGUAGAUGAAAAUGGGUGGCUGCCCCACACUUAAGCAAUCCAUCUGUCCAAAUGCAGUAGCAUAUUCCCUACCUGGAUGGUGAUUUUGGAAUUGCUUAGCUCCUGGCCUUUUCAAAAUAAAGCUAAAGGAAAUUUGGAGGGGUAUGGAAGAACAAGAUCAGUGUUGAUUAAAUCUAUCUUUUUGGAUUCAGUUGAAUUUGCAGUUUCUCAGACAACAUCUGAUGAUCUCAAGGGUAUGACAGAUCUCUGAUUCCCUCUGAUCAUUCUCAAAAUUCAUAAUGAGGAAACAGAUUCAAUUUAACCCAAGGUGGUUGUGACCUUCUCAAAGUGACCCAGGGAGUAAAAAUCACAGGUAAAGUGUUUAGAACUAUAAAAUAUUCCCCUCAGGAGGAUUUUGGUCACAUCACCAAAGAUUUGAUAGAACAUACUCAUCAGAUGAUCAGUGCUAUUUCCCAAACUGGAAUCUCUGAAGGCCCUAGGAAGCAUUGUUCAAAAGUGAGUAACAAAUAGUAAUGGAGCAAGAAUUUUGUCAUGUUUAAUAUUGUUAGUUACAGUAAAUUCCUUUGACAUUUCCCUCUAACUUUUGCCAUCUUUCCCUUGUGCAAUAAGUAAAUGAUGUUUAUAAAACUCCAGAUGAACCAUCCUUCAUGGGAUUUUCCACAUAUCUGUUUAAUUAAUAGAAUAAAAUGCUUCCCUUAAGUGCUCAAAGACAACAGAGUGGUUGUGAUAUAGUUCUUGUCAUUUCUCCCACCUACAAAAACAAAAUAUCAUGGUUACAAUUCUAUAAUUAGCAGGGAAGCUACACCAACUUCUGGUUAAUAGACUGCUUAUGUAGACUACUGAAUUUUGCAGAUGAAGCAAGUGAUAGGAAUAUUUAAGGAAAAAAAGACAAUAUACAAAAAGAUAUCUAUAGUUUAGAUCAAGUUCUUAA
Long non-coding RNA from Monodelphis domestica (gray short-tailed opossum), 1417 nucleotides. RefSeq lists it as uncharacterized. NCBI's taxonomy places the organism in Eukaryota, Metazoa, Chordata, Mammalia, Didelphimorphia, Didelphidae. The record is from RefSeq and is a predicted model, not a curated record.